Molecule: ribosomal RNA, 492 nt
Filed under: uncultured bacterium
Lineage: Bacteria
Description: partial 16S ribosomal RNA
Rfam family: Bacterial small subunit ribosomal RNA
Source: RNAcentral
AGUGAACGCUGGCGGUAGGCCUAACACAUGCAAGUCGAACGGCAGCACAGUAAGAGCUUGCUCUUACGGGUGGCGAGUGGCGGACGGGUGAGGAAUACAUCGGAAUCUACUUUUUCGUGGGGGAUAACGUAGGGAAACUUACGCUAAUACCGCAUACGACCUACGGGUGAAAGCAGGGGAUCUUCGGACCUUGCGCGAUUGAAUGAGCCGAUGUCGGAUUAGCUAGUUGGCGGGGUAAAGGCCCACCAAGGCGACGAUCCGUAGCUGGUCUGAGAGGAUGAUCGCCCACAGGGGAAAGGAGACCGGGACCGGACCCCGAGGGGAGGAGGAAGGGGGGAAUAUUGGAAAAGGGGGGAAGGCCGGACCCCGCAAUCCGGGGGGGGGAAAAACGGCGUUGGGUUUGAAAACCCUUUUUGUGGGAAAAAAAAAGCAGCAGUUUAAUCCCCGGCUGUUCGGAGGGUCCCAAAAAAAAAAGCCCCGGCUAACUUCGUC